UGAACACGAACUGUUGAGACCCUGGGUUCCUCCCGCUGUGGAGGAGCAGCCCGGAGCUGGGGCCGAGGCUCUGGCGGCACCGAGCGCUGCUGCCGGGCCCGUCACGCUCCGGGCCCGGGAGCCAAUUCACCGCGCUGUGCCCGGGGAGCGAGGGGCAGCGGGGCUGCAACAGGCGGGGACCGAGCGGGGACGCAGGCGGAUCGAGGCGGAACGAGGCGGGACCGAGGCGGGACCGAGGCGGCACUGAGGCCCGCCCAGCGCCACCGCCCCGGCCCCAGCGGCCCGGCCCGGCCCGGCCCCGCGCUCGGUGCCGCGGUUGCCGGGUGACCGCAAACGCGGCCACAGAGUCUGUGCCGGCCAUGCGGCCUCAGCGCCCGGAGCUCGGCCCCGGCUGCUCGCUCGCAGCUUCGGCGUCUGUAGGCGGCGGCACUCGGCCACUCGCCACAGGAACUGUUCGCACAGAUUGGUCUCUACGAGUCCUGUGAGUUCGCGGAGAAUUGGUUUCUGCCAGGGAGUGCUGAACUCGCCAAGCACUGGUCUCUGCCAGGGAGUCCUGCAUUUCGUUUGAAGUUUUGUUGAGGCAUUAUCGCUCAUCUGCGACAUCCUCCUUUCAGAAUGGCUUCUGGAUUCCCGAAAAAGACACCAGCACCUCGUCUUUUGCUCAGGGACAGACUGAAGUCUGAUACUGUGCUUCCCUCUAAGUUCCAGAGGGAGAAGUUUCUCAACACAAAGCAGGAGGCCAGCACUGGGAGUUUUCUGCCCAGAAUUGGCCCAUGGAUAGACCUGAGUGAGACUGGUCCAAAGCUGUCACCACCUUCCCCGAAGCAGAGCUUGUUUGAGGUUUCCCCACCAGAGAUGGUAUUUC
Motacilla alba alba is the source of this 865-nucleotide long non-coding RNA. RefSeq lists it as uncharacterized. The transcript has 4 exons. Lineage: Eukaryota; Metazoa; Chordata; Aves; Passeriformes; Motacillidae. The record is from RefSeq and is a predicted model, not a curated record.